RNAcentral lists this ribosomal RNA (388 nucleotides) under uncultured bacterium. Its description in RNAcentral is "bacterial SSU rRNA". It matches the Rfam family "Bacterial small subunit ribosomal RNA", at positions 100 to 524 of the family's 1533-position model. The record is from RNAcentral.
GACGGGUGAGUAACGCGUCGGAACGUGCCUUCUGGUCUGGAAUAACCGUGGGAAACAAAGGCUAAUACCGGAUACGCCCUUUUGGGGAAAGGUUUACUGCCGGAAGAUCGGCCCGCGUCUGAUUAGCUAGUUGGUGGGGUAACGGCCUACCAAGGCGACGAUCAGUAGCUGGUCUGAGAGGAUGAUCAGCCACACUGGGACUGAGACACGGCCCAAACUCCUACGGGAGGCAGCAGUGGGGAAUCUUGCGCAAUGGGCGAGAGGCUGACGCAGCCAUGCCGCGUGGAUGAUGAAGGUCUUAGGAUUGUAAAAUCCUUUCAGCGGGGACGAUAAUGACGGUACCCGCAGAAGAAGCCCCGGCUAACUUCGUGCCAGCAGCCGCGGUAAU